This is a long non-coding RNA of Haplochromis burtoni (Burton's mouthbrooder), 1698 nucleotides long. RefSeq lists it as uncharacterized. The record is from RefSeq and is a predicted model, not a curated record. The transcript has 2 exons. NCBI's taxonomy places the organism in Eukaryota, Metazoa, Chordata, Actinopteri, Cichliformes, Cichlidae.
CACACACACACACACACACACACACACACAAAUUAUUAUUUAUGAAAUUACACUGAAUUUGCAGGCUACUAGCUCUGACGAGCUAACUGCAUCACACGUUUCUGACUGUUGACAGAAGCAUUAGCACGUUAUGUGCAAACACGUAGUUCUAGAUGGCACACACCUUAAGAGAGAGAUAAAGAGCGCACUGGAGGCACAUUUCACUACUGCAGCUUUACCACAGGGAUUAAAAACACCUCCCAUCAGCACAGGACAUUUUCUGUUCAAAACCAGAGAAAACCGGUCAGGGCGGUCGUCCCCUUGAGGAGCAGAAACAGAGAGGCCUGGGCAAGUUCUCCCUUGAUAUUCCUGUUCUGCUGAAAUCCCACAUAACCGGCUAAACCGGUCCCCUAAAGCCCUGUGGUAAUAGAGGGACAACUAACUCGAGAACAGAAAUGUCCAAUGCAGACACCUGCGGUUGUAUAUUUAAAGCAGAAGUCAGAGACUUGAGAGUUUUCAUACAAAUAAACAGGGAAAAAAAGGCAUGGUUCGUAAGCAUAGCAUAGCAGGUUCUUAGUAUAGCAGAACCUGUAAAUGAACUUCUUAACAGCUGUAUGGAAGUUUGAUCAGUCUGCAGUGUCCAUUGUUCUAACUUCGAUGUUGAAUGGUGCCUUUGUGAAUGACACAUGGGCAGCUGUGUGUGUGAAGUGAGCAGCAGGGUGUGGUGGACUCAUUGACAGUGGUACUGGUAUGUAAAUUCGAUGGCAAACAACAGACAAUAGCGAAGGCCCAUGUGUCGUCUCGGAAACUAGAUGCGAUGCCACUUCCUGAUUCCCAAACCAGAUUCCUUAUGACUGGCCUGACUGGGUUACGAUGGAUAUCUUCAUCAACGUCGUCAUCAUCGUCAAGUUUCUCUUCCUAGCUGCCACUCCUGCAGCCCCAGGUACCAUAAAUAUCAACAUGUAACACUUAACACUGAUUUCUGUUGUCCGUUUUCAAUAAUAUACACUGCAGCCACAUGUGGUGGUGCCUUUAAAACUCUUGAUUUUUAAUCAUUUCAGUGAAAGUUUUCUUGAGAAAACCACAAUGCAAACCUAAAUUUUAAUUAAGGCCUGUAAACUUGGAUGACUAAUGCUGACAUUUAGCUCAUUCAUACUCAUACUGAAAAUGUAACCCAUCUGCAUGCAGAGCAGUGUUGUCAUGCUUGGUAACUGACAGAAACAUUCAUACUCACUGUUGUUCCAUUUUUAUCAAACAUCAGCAUGUACUGUGUGCACACCCAUUCAAAUCAACAGUUGGCCCAGAAGAAGGUACAAAAAGCUAGCCUCAAAUCUAGAGAGUCAGAUAAAGAACAGCAACCUGAAUGUAAAAAAAAAAACAAUGAAUGAAGAAUAUAAUUCUAGGAAGCAGUUGAGCCACCUCCAGGUAUUGCCAUCAAGUUUGGAACUGAGCCACAUGAGCUCCUCCCAUUAUGAAGAAAGAUCGCACAGAAGCAAAACAUGUGGAGAGAGGGAGAAGAGGUAAUCAAUUCUGAUGUGAUUAUGGCUGUUAUACACCAAACACAAGGUGAGUGCAGAGUUUUUAUACUUUUCUUCAGACGCUAACCUAACCAAGGGACCAAACGAGUUGGUGGCUCAAGUCCUGAACCUCUCAACACUGUUGUUGAUAAGUCAUUCAAAUAAUGAUUAAAAGGUUCAAACAGAAAAACAAACAAACAAA